RNAcentral lists this long non-coding RNA (7516 nucleotides) under Gossypium barbadense (sea-island cotton). Its description in RNAcentral is "long non-coding RNA (GBAR_LNC019302)". Lineage: Eukaryota; Viridiplantae; Streptophyta; Magnoliopsida; Malvales; Malvaceae. The record is from RNAcentral.
UUGUGGAUAGGUAUGCGAGGUGUACCAAGUCCGUUUCCAUAGGUUUGUGAUGAUGUUUUUUUGUCUUGUUAAAUUUGUUGACUAAGGUUGGUUUUGACAGUGAAUAUUUGGAUUAUAUGUUUGCAGUUCCUCCGGCAUACUAUGCUCACCUCGCUGCUUAUAGGGCACGUUGUUAUAUUGAGGAUGAGAUGUCGGAUAGUGGGUCUACUGGUGGAGGCCGAAAGCCGAAAGACAAGGUUGUAGAGGUUAGGCCGCUGCCCAGCAUAAAGGAUAAUGUGAAGGAAGUGAUGUUCUACGUCUGAUUAAUUAUGUUUGGUUGAUUGUGGGAAGUUGCGCAAGUAUAGUUGCACAGUUUGUGGAUGAUGGUGGAGUCUUAUUGAUUCCAUUGGUGGACUUAGUAAUCAUCUAAUUUUGGAGUUUUUGUUUUGGUGGUUGAGCUACUUGUUGUGUGAAGUUUGAAUUAUUAUAAAUCACACACUGUUUGUGGAUUACGAAAAUUUCAUAAAUGUCCUUUAUUUUUAAGACACAUUCUUAGAAAGGAGUUUUGGUAUCAUUCUUAAGCUUCUUUUAUAUCACCAAUUAAUACAAGAGAUGAUGAAAUUUUAGAGAAUAAUGUCUUUUUAUAAAGAGUUUUUAAAUGUUCAGAACACAAAUUGUAAGAUAUGCUCGGAUAUCCUCACUGCAUCUCCUUGCAACUCCAAUGAAUAAAAAAGCAAUCCUAAUCAAUUUUCUUUUUAAUUUACCAUUUUAAUAAACAUAGUAAAUACAAUUUUAUUAACUUAUUAAUUAAUUUUAUAAAUUUACAUAUUUUUAAUUCAUAAAAGUGUGAUAAUUUUAAAAACUUUUAUUAUAUAUAAUUUUUAAUCUAAUGUUUUCAAUAGUUAUAUUUUAUUAUUAUCUCACCGUUACAAUUACGUUUGAAAUUAAAUAUACAUCUCACCACUGUUUCUAUUCUCAUUGCUAUUGCUGUUUUUAACUUUACCGAAGAUAAAUGUAUCGUCCAUCCCAAUUAAACCUUAGUCCAUUUAUAGUGUUUUUUUUACUUCGUUAAAGCUGGACAAACUAUGCCAUUAAAAUUUUAAUAGCUUAAGUUUAGAUUGAAUGAGCGAUGCGUUUACUUUCGGUGAGAUUAAAAACAACAAUGGUAGUUAGAUUAGUUACUGUAGCGAUGAAAUUAGAUACUGUAGUAGUGAUAUUAGAAAUAGCGGUACGGUGUGUGUUUAGAUUCAAACGCAACUAUAAUAAUGAGUUGAGAAUAAAAAAUGACUAUUAAAGACAUUAGAUUUAUGAGUUCUCUCUCAUUUCAUCUUUUUUUCCCCUCAAAUUCUGUUAUGAAUAAAAAAUCUUCUUUAAAUAUCAAAGGAAAAGCUCUCAUUUAAUCCUCUCAUCUGAUUGUAUGAAAACGGUUUUGUUCAUUCAUCAGCUAUUCUGCUCUAUCAUUGCUUUUAUCUGUUUCAUUUUUUUCCAAUCUAAAACUAAAAAACAAACACCAUCUUUUCCAUUCAUGAUGACACAGAAGGUGAAGAAAAUUAUAAAUUUUGAUUCAUCAAUGGGUAUGGGUGGUUAACCAAAAUAGAGAAGAUAAAAAAGAAAAAGUAAUGUUGAAAAUAAAAGUCAUUUUCCUUUUUUUAAAAAUAUGGAUGAUUGAUAAUUUUAAAAAUAAUUUUCAAAAAAAUAAUUUUCAUUAUUUUCACCAAAAUGUUUUGUAGAAUUAAAAAAGACGAGAACAAGAGUUUUUUAAUUUUAAAUGAACGAGUUCACAAUGGGUUCAAAUCCAUAUAAACACAAAAAAAUAUUUAUUUUUCAAUAGUUUUUUUUUCUAAUAUUGAAUUCGGUACCCUGAUUUGAAUCCAUAUAAAUACGAAAUUUAUUUUAUUUUAUUAAAACAUGUUUUUAUUUCUAUUUAUCAAAUUUAAAAAAAUAGAAAAUGAAAAUCAUGUUUCUAUUUACCAAAUAUUUCACAAAUUAAACUGACUUUAAUUGUUUAGAAAAAAGAAAAAAAAUUCUAUUAUUUUCUAGUGAAGUAGAAAUUAGGAAAGGGAAGGGAUGCUUGCUAUGGAAAUUGUGGAUGGAAAAAAGGAAGUUGUCAAUAAAGAAAAAAAAAAAAAUUUUGGUAUUUUUUUAUGUCUGUUUUAUUGUUUAUGUUUGGGGUUCGUGGUAGUUCUUCUCAACAAGGUCAUCUUCAAUGUUUAAAUCUAUGUCUCAAAUUAAGAAUACAAUGUGCCUUACCAUUACACCCAACACUUGUUGGUAAAAAAAAAAGUGUAAAAUUUAUAUGAUAUUUUAAAAACAUAUAGAUAAUUUAAUGGUAAAAUUAUAAUUUUAUUUUUUUGAAGGAUAAUGCUAAUAUUGUAAUUAUAUUUAUUAUUGUAAUUUUACAUAAAAAUUAAACUAAUUAACUUGUAACAUCAACUAAGUUAAAUAUUUCUUUAAGUAUUAAAUUGUGUUACAAACAUGAUGUCAAUGUAAAAAAUAUAUUAAUAAAUAGGUGAAAUGAGGUUUUGGUUGAAAUGAUUAAUUUGAACCUGAUUUCUUAAGUUUAACUAACUCAACGACAUUAUUUUUUGAAAGAACUCGAUCAAGAUUGCUUUUUCCGUAGUUACUUUUCCUUAAAAAAACCCAAGGGAAAGUUUAACUGUUAAUGAUUUGGUUGACUGAGUUGGGCUUUUUGUUAUUUAUUGUCUCGUUAAAUUUUAUUUUCAUUGGAUUUUAAUGUGUAUUUUCCUUUUCUGUUUUCUUAUUUAUUUACUUGUCUCUUUGUCCAUCUCUGUUACUUUCAUCUUUUUCUCGUCUCUUUUGAUGGCCUUUGGUGCUUCAUUGCUUAUAGGUUACUAUAACGCCUGAGGUAACCGCAAAAAAGGUUAACAGAGCAAUAAUGAAGCAACUUAUUGAUGUAUACAAAGAGUCGCAUCUUGGACGUCGGUGUCCAGCUUAUGAUGGCAGGAAGAGUUUGUACACUGCUGGUCCUCUUCCCUUCGAGUCAGGAGCUUGUUAUCAAGCUACCUGAGGAAGAUCGCAGUGCUGGUUCGUCUAGGCCUGCGCUGUAAUAUUAUUGUAUCCUAUGAUGGUCUCUUGACAUUUUACAUUAUAUCCGAUGUCAUAAUUGCUUACCUGUGAUCUUUCUGGUUGCCUGUCACUGCAGGAAGGAGCGACAAUUUAAGGUUGCAAUCAAACUGGCCUCCAAGCCAGACCUUCAUUAUCUCAGGGAGUUUUUGAGCAGAAAGCAUUUUGAAUGUCCUCAAGAAGCUAUUCAAGUUCUGGAUGUUGUUCUUAGAGCUAAACCAUCUCAGAUGUAACUGCCUGUUGAUUAAUGUUAAACAUUGCUGGCUAUUAAAUUGUUGAAACCAUUUUAUAUGACAUCAAAUUAAUACAUUUGAAACAUCAUUUGGCAGAUAUACUGAGGUGGGAAGGUCUUUUUUCCAUACAUCAUUAGGUCCUAGAGGAGAACUUGGUAAUGGAAUAGAAUACUGGUCUGGAUAUUAUCAGAGUCUUCGACCCACUCAGAUGGGUUUAUCUCUUAAUAUUGGUAGGUACUUUGAUUGCUCAGUUUGUGUAGCCACUUUGUUCCUAAUGUUUCAGUAUGAAGAUUUACUGGUUUUGCUUUGCAGAUGUGUCUGCUCGAUCAUUCUAUGAGCCAAUUUUAGUUUCAGAGUUUGUUGUGAAACAUUUCCGACGAUCAAACCUGUCAAAGCCGCUGUCUGAUCAAGAUCGUAUUAAAGUAUGUAUAUAUUGAAUUCAGUGUUUAUUAAUCAAAACUUGCAGAAUAUUUUUGGAAUGCUUCUUUUGCCGUUUUUGUUAGCUGAAAAAGGCCUUGAAGGGAGUAAGAGUUAGGCUCAUCUACAUGGAUUAUGCCAAAACUUGCAAGAUUAUUGGAGUAUCUAGAGACCCUAUAAGCCAGUUGACGUGAGUUUCUUGUUAUAAUACUAUACCUGCUCAUAAAUAUUUUUAGUAAGCUACUUUUAUGUGGCCUGUGUGGUAGAAUUGUUUUUGGGUUAUUUGUAGUCUUGUAUUCACUCCUUAUCUAAGUUACAUCUUAAAAUUGAGUUGGUUUUAUUUUUAUUUUUUGCAGUUGACAGUUUUUAGUAUUUGGCUUGGUUAUGUCUUGUUCUAAAAUAUUGUUUAUGCUUAUACAUUUGUAAAAUCUUGUGCUUAUGGUACAUUUGUACCAUUCUGUCUCAUUAUGUUUCUGUUCAAUUUUUGGCUGUUUUAGAUUUCCUCUUGAUGAUAAGAGAACAAAUGUCUCUGUGGUCAAGUAUUUCCGUGAGAAAUACAAUGUUGUGCUUAAAUAUCCAUCCUUGCCUGCACUUCAAAGUGGAACUGAAGCUAGACCUGUCUACCUGCCAAUGGAGGUUUUUACUUUAUAUCAAGAUGAUCUUGUUUUUGUUUUCUUUUUGUUUGUUACUGAUUCUCCUGUAUGAUUUUGUUUUACAGCUUUAUAGUAUCGUUGAGGGUCAAAGAUACACAAAAAAAACUAAAUGAACAACAAGUUAGAUCUCUGCUGAGAGCAACUUGUCAACGUCCGAACAUUAGGGAGGGGAAUAUUACAAAGGUACUGCAGUUUUGGAUGCUUAUUAUUUUUUAAAUUGGUUGAUAAGAUGAGAAUUUUGAUUCAUUGGCAUUUCAUAUUUCUGCAGAUGGUCCAGGUCAAUAAUUUUGAGUUGGAGGAGCUUGUUACUAAAGAAUUUGGAAUGCAUGUUCGCAAAGAACUUGCAUUGAUUAAUGCACGAGUUCUAAAUCCUCCAGUGGUACUUUUCAGCCAAUAUGUUAUAUUUUCAAGGAUACUGUCAGUCUUAUAAUACGAUUAAUGUCUGUUUUGGUUGCUGCAGCUAAAGUAUCACGAUAGUGGACGUGACAAAAUCGUUAAUCCUAGUUGCGGGCAAUGGAACAUGAUCAACAAGGUGGUAUUUUUUUUUCUUCCCCUCUUAUUCUUUGAAGUGGCAUUGUUUGUAAAAUUUAAGGAAUCAGACCUGUCUCUUCAGUCUCCUCUUGUUCCAGAGUUCUUGUUCAUUUUUUCAAUUCAUUUUUAAGGUAGCUAUAAGUCUUUUGGGAAAAUUUUGAUAGGUUUUAAGGUUCAACAGUUUUUUUUUUUGCAGAAAAUGGUCAAUGGGGGUAAAGUCGAUUUCUGGUCUUGUGUGAACUUCUCCUCGGAAUAUUGGAAUAUGUCAGAAGAGUUCUGUGCGGAGCUGGUGAAUAUGUGUAACAACAAAGCAAUGGUAUGCUGUGUGGUUUUUUUUAGUGUAGGUGGAUGGUAUAUCUGUUAUUUAUUUAUCACUAGCAUGAUUUCCCAUUUUGAGAUUCUAGGUGUUUUGCCAAACUCCUUCAAUUGCAAUGCGAUCAGCUCGUGCUGACCGAAUUGAUCAGAUUCUCAUGGAUGUAUACAAAGAGUCUGCAGGCUUGAAAAAGCCACUUCAGUUGUUGAUAAUUAUCUUACCUGAUCAGACUGGCUCUUAGGGUAAGAAAUUCUGAUGUUUUGUAAAUAGGUAAUUCCUGGGGUUUCUUUGCGCGACUCAAAUCUUUUUGCUUGCAGGAAAAAUAAAGCGAAUUUGUGAGACGGAGCUAGGUAUUGUUUCACAAUGUUGUAAGCCUGUGCAAGCUGCAAAGUUUAGCAACCAAUAUUUUGAAAAUGUUGCUCUCAAGAUCAAUGCUAAGGUAUGUGUUUUGCCUCACUGGUGGUGAUUUGAUAUAGUGUUUUCUUGUCUUGUUAUCUUAAUUCAUUUGAGAAUUGUAAAUUCUGUAGGUUGGGGGGCGAAAUACUCUGCUGAACGAUGCUAUUUUAAGGAGAAUUCCGCUUGUGACUGAUGUCCCUACAAUCAUUUUUGGGGCAGAUGUCACUCAUCCGCCGCCUGGCGAAGACUAUUCUAUAGCUGCAGUAAGCAUAUUCAUUGUUCUCUACAUCCCCAUUUUGUUACUUGAUCAUAUUUAAGAGGUUAUUGGCUGGAUGCAGGUCGUUGCUUCAAUGGAUUGGCCUGAGGUAACCAAGUAUCGUGGAAUUGUCUCUGCACAGACUCGCCGGAUGGAAAUAAUCCAGGAUCUUUAUAAACAAACAAAGGAUCCACAGAAGGGUUUAGUUGAGGGUGGAAUGGUUAGGUAGGGAGAUAGAUUUAUUUCGGGCUUAAUUUUUUAGUUUCUUCUGGACGUGCUCUACUUUCUUAACAUUUCAAGUUCUCUGCAGGGAAUUGCUUGUUGCUUUCUUCAAGUCGACAAGACAAAAGCCUUCUAGAAUUAUCUUCUAUAGGUAAUGUUUGCUUUUGACCAUCCAAAUAUAUGUAUAUAUUUCUAGCAGCAGUGCUGAUAUCUGAUUUUUGAUGUGGCAGAGGUGGUGUUAGUGAAGGACAAUUCAGCCAAGUUUUGCUUUAUGAAAUGGAUGCGAUUCGGAAGGUAUUGAAAUCACUGUAUAAUGUCUAUUAUAGUUGGUUCACUGUAUAAUGGAUGCUUCUGACCCCUGCAGUUUUCUUCCUUCCAGGCUUGUUCCUCGCUACAGGAAGGAUAUAUGCCUCGGGUUACAUUUGUUGUGGUUCAAAAGAGGCAUCAUACUCGCUUAUUCCCUACUGAUCGCAACAAAACUGAUAGGAGUGGCAACAUAUUACCAGGUGAUUCUAAUCUUAUAAUAGGGAUUUGAUCGUAUUCUCUUGAUCUUCAUUUUGUUAGCAUAUUUUAAUGUAGCCAAUAAAUUUUAGGUACUGUUGUGGAUACUAGCAUCUGUCAUCCAACUGAGUUUGAUUUUUAUCUCAAUAGUCAUGCUGGAAUCCAGGUUAAAUGAGGCUUCCCUUGAAGUGUGAUGGUUUUUAUGUUAAAUUUGUCCGAUCUGAUACUGAUGUUGUUGUGUAGGGGACAAGCAAGGCCACACGUUACCACGGUUUGUUUGAUGAAAAUGGCUUCAGUGCUGACAUCUUGCAAGUGCUCACAAACAGUUUAUGUUACACGUAUGUGUUUACUCCUUUCUCUAAAAUCCUGAAAUGGGGUGAAUAAAUAAUGCUUUAGAUCAGCACUAGUAAUUAUAUAGUAAUAAUUUUACUUUGUGGAUAGGUAUGCGAGGUGUACCAAGUCCGUUUCCAUAGGUUUGUGAUGAUGUUUUUUUGUCUUGUUAAAUUUGUUAACUUAAGGUUGGUUUUGACGGUGAAUAUUUGAAUUAUAUGUUUGCAGUGCCUCCGGCAUACUAUGCUCACCUCGCUGCUUAUAGGGCACGCUAUUAUAUUGAGGAUGAGAUGUCGGAUAGUGGGUCUACUGGUGGAGGCCGAAAGCCGAAAGACAAGGUUGUAGAGUUUAGGGCGCUCCCCAGCAUAAAGGAUAAUGUGAAGGAAGUAAUGUUCUAUGUCUGAUAAAUUAUGUUUGGUUGGUGGAAAGUUGCGCAAGUAUAGUUGCACAGUUUGUGGAUGAUGGUGGAGUCUUGUUGAUUCCAUUGGUGGACUUUGUAAUUAUUUAAUUUUGGAGUUUCUGUUUUGGUGGUUGAGCGAAUUGUCGUCUGAAGUUUGGAUUACUAUAAUGCACACACUAUUUGUGGAUUACGAAAAUUUCA